This 469-nucleotide ribosomal RNA is filed under the name uncultured bacterium. Its description in RNAcentral is "partial 16S ribosomal RNA". It matches the Rfam family "Bacterial small subunit ribosomal RNA", at positions 28 to 507 of the family's 1533-position model. The record is from RNAcentral.
GACGAACGCUGGCGGCGUGCUUAACACAUGCAAGUCGAACGGAAAGGCCCUGCUUGCCGGGUGCUCGAGUGGCGAACGGGUGAGUAACACGUGGGUGAUCUGCCCCUUACUUUGGGAUAAGCCCGGGAAACUGGGUCUAAUACUGGAUAGGACCAUGCUGUAGGUGGUGUGGUGGAAAGAUUAGUUUCGGUAAGGGAUGAGCUCGCGGCCUAUCAGCUUGUUGGUGGGGUAAUGGCCUACCAAGGCGUCGACGGGUAGCCGGCCUGAGAGGGUGGACGGCCACAUUGGGACUGAGAUACGGCCCAGACUCCUACGGGAGGCAGCAGUGGGGAAUAGUGCACAAUGGGCGCAAGCCUGAUGCAGCGACGCCGCGUGGGGGAUGACGGCCUUCGGGUUGUAAACUCCUUUCAGCCAUGACGAAGCCCUUGUGGUGACGGUAGUGGUAGAAGAAGCACCGGCUAACUACGUG